This 1410-nucleotide long non-coding RNA is filed under the name Ornithorhynchus anatinus (platypus). RNAcentral describes it as "lncRNA (ENSOANG00000051305.1)". The record is from RNAcentral. Lineage: Eukaryota; Metazoa; Chordata; Mammalia; Monotremata; Ornithorhynchidae.
UCCCACGUGGGGUUCACAAUCUUAAUUCCCAUUUUCCAGAUGAGGCCACUGAGCCACAGAGAAGUUAAGUGGCUUGCCCAAAGUCACCCAUCUGGCGAGCGGCAGAGGCGGGAUUAGAACCCAUGACCUCUGACUCCCGAGCCCGCGCUCUUUCCACCGAGCCACGCUGCUUCGCUCCCCGGCCGGCACGGAGGACGAGAGGCGCGCGCCGGCUUGAUCGGGCCGGCCCCUCCACCCCGCGCUCCUCAGCAAGCCUCCGCGGCCGUUCCGGAGAAACGGGGACGGAAGGAGAAGAAGCAGCUGCGAGAGCCGAAGCCGCUUCCCCGCCGCCCCUUCCUUCCCGCACAAGGGUUUGGGAGGCCUCCCCGGGAGUCGGGCCGGACGGGGGGGGGGGGGGGGGGGGAGGGCAGGGGACGGAGCCUUCCCAUUGGUCGGCCUUGCCCCCCUCGGGCCGGCCCGGCCCCGCCCCCCGGGCGGAGUCCGGGCAGGGCGGCUUCCCAUUGGUGGACCUCGCCCCCCUCGGCCCGACCCCGCCCCGCCCCGCUCCCCGUGCGUCGUUAAAGGAGGAAGGGGCGGAGGGUGGGGGUGGCGUGGCGUUGCUCGCCGGCAGCCGGCAGCGAUCGAGCGAACGGUGGCGGCUGGCUUCGGGCCGUCGCUGCCUCCUUCCCCUCCCGUUCUGUGCCUCCUCCCAUCUAGGGAGCGGGAGCGGGAGUGGUGUCCCGCCGCCCGCCCCGGGGAGAAGGAAGAGUUUCCUCCUCUCGUUGCCGCCGCCGGGGUGCCAGCUCCCCGAGGAGGGGUAGUUGGAGCGGGGCGUCCAGCCUGCCCGGAUCCGGCGCUCGCUCGCUCGCCCGCCCGCCCCCCGGGGGUUCGCCCCCCCGGUCCCUCGAGCGGCGGGACCGACCCUCUGCGAGGAGGCGGAGGACGGAGAGGCGAAGGGGUGACGGUCGGUCGAGGUCCGGGCCGCCCCCGGUGGCUCCCCUGGCGAGCGGGCCCCGGGGCCGCUUUGCCGUCCGGAGAGCGGGGACGGGGACGGGGUUGACACCCGGGGCAGCGCCCCCAAGUUACCGGCUCGGAUCCUUCCGGGCGGGGGCGGUUGACGGCCGAUCUCCCCGUCGGGGACGGGAAGCGGAGAGCGGGCCGGAGCGGCGAAAACUUUUCCUUCCGAUCUCGGCGGGGCGGCCGGGGCAGGAAAUCCGGGACCGAGCUCUCCACCGACCCUCCCCUCUCUCUGCUUUCUCCUCCUCCUCCCCUCUGCCUUUUUCCUUCCCCUUCCUUCGCCGCCACGCUGUCGGGGGCCGAAGUCGGGGGGAAACAGAAAAAGGCGGCCCCCGCGCAGUAGAAGGCGGCGGCGAUUCCCGGGACUCCGGCUCCGCGGCGUCCGCAGGUCGCCUCUCCCCGGCCGGGGGAGGA